RNAcentral lists this ribosomal RNA (252 nucleotides) under uncultured bacterium. RNAcentral describes it as "partial 16S ribosomal RNA". It matches the Rfam family "Bacterial small subunit ribosomal RNA", at positions 57 to 305 of the family's 1533-position model. The record is from RNAcentral.
GCAAGUCGAGCGGGAUUAUUUAGAGGGAACUUUCCGGAGGGAACAUUAAAUAUGAGAGCGGCGAACGGGUGAGUAAUAUCUUAGAAUCUGCCCCUAAGUGAGGGAUAGCCACGGGAAACUGUGAUUAAUACCGCAUAUGCUGGAGACAGUAAAGCCUUCGGGCGCUUAGGGAGGAGCUUUGAUCCUAUCAGUUAGUUGGUGGUGUAAAGGACCACCAAGACUAUGACGGGUAGCUGGUCUGAGAGGAUGAUC